UGUUUAUCAAAAACAUCGCCUCUUGCAAAACUAACAAAUAAGAGGUCCCGCCUGCCCUGUGACUAUAAGUUUAACGGCCGCGGUAUUUUGACCGUGCGAAGGUAGCGCAAUCACUUGUCUUUUAAAUGGAGACCUGUAUGAAUGGCACGACGAGGGCUUAGCUGUCUCCUCUUUCAAGUCAAUGAAAUUGAUCCCCCCGUGCAGAAGCGGGGAUGACACCAUAAGACGAGAAGACCCUAUGGAGCUUUAGACACCAAAGCAGAUUAUGUUAAACACCCCUAAACAAAGGGCUAAACCAGAUAAUCCCUGCCCUAAUGUCUUUGGUUGGGGCGACCGCGGGGAAACACAAAACCCCCACGUGGAAUGGGAACACCCCCUCCUACAGAUGAGAGCUCCCGCUCUAACAACCAGAACUUCUGACCAAUAAGAUCCGGCAACGCCGAUCAACGGACCGAGUUACCCUAGGGAUAACAGCGCAAUCCCCUUUUAGAGCCCAUAUCGGCAAGGGGGUUUACGACCUCGAUGUUGGAUCAGGACAUCCUAAUGGUGCAGCCGCUAUUAAGGUUCGUUUGUUCAACGAUUAAAGUCCUACGUGAUCUGAGUUCA
RNAcentral lists this ribosomal RNA (606 nucleotides) under Triodon macropterus (threetooth puffer). RNAcentral's name for it is "partial 16S ribosomal RNA". It matches the Rfam family "Bacterial large subunit ribosomal RNA", at positions 1801 to 2613 of the family's 2925-position model. Lineage: Eukaryota; Metazoa; Chordata; Actinopteri; Tetraodontiformes; Triodontidae. The record is from RNAcentral.